AGUGAACGCUGGCGGUAGGCCUAACACAUGCAAGUCGAACGGCAGCACAGUAAGAGCUUGCUCUUACGGGUGGCGAGUGGCGGACGGGUGAGGAAUACAUCGGAAUCUACUUUUGCGUGGGGGAUAACGUAGGGAAACUUACGCUAAUACCGCAUACGACCUACGGGUGAAAGCAGGGGAUCUUCGGACCUUGCGCGAUUGAAUGAGCCGAUGUCGGAUUAGCUAGUUGGCGGGGUAAAGGCCCACCAAGGCGACGAUCCGUAGCUGGUCUGAGAGGAUGAUCAGCCACACUGGAACUGAGACACGGUCCAGACUCCUACGGGAGGCAGCAGUGGGGAAUAUUGGACAAUGGGCGCAAGCCUGAUCCAGCCAUACCGCGUGGGUGAAGAAGGCCUUCGGGUUGUAAAGCCCUUUUAUUGGGAAAGAAAAGCAGCAAGUUAAUACCCCGCUGUUCUGACGGUACCCACAGAAUAAGCACCGGCUAACUUCGUG
RNAcentral lists this ribosomal RNA (492 nucleotides) under uncultured bacterium. RNAcentral describes it as "partial 16S ribosomal RNA". It matches the Rfam family "Bacterial small subunit ribosomal RNA", at positions 29 to 507 of the family's 1533-position model. The record is from RNAcentral.